GAUGAACGCUGGCGGCGUGCCUAAUACAUGCAAGUCGAGCGAACAGAUGAGGAGCUUGCUCCUCUGACGUUAGCGGCGGACGGGUGAGUAACACGUGGAUAACCUACCUAUAAGACUGGGAUAACUUCGGGAAACCGGAGCUAAUACCGGAUAAUAUAUUGAACCGCAUGGUUCAAUAGUGAAAGACGGUUUUGCUGUCACUUAUAGAUGGAUCCGCGCCGCAUUAGCUAGUUGGUAAGGUAACGGCUUACCAAGGCAACGAUGCGUAGCCGACCUGAGAGGGUGAUCGGCCACACUGGAACUGAGACACGGUCCAGACUCCUACGUGAGGCAGCAGUAGGGAAUCUUCCGCAAUGGGCGAAAGCCUGACGGAGCAACGCCGCGUGAGUGAUGAAGGUCUUCGGAUCGUAAAACUCCGUUAUUAGGGAAGAACAAAUGUGUAAGUAACUAUGCACGUCUUGACGGUACCUAAUCAGAAAGCCACGGCUAACUACGUG
This 497-nucleotide ribosomal RNA is filed under the name uncultured bacterium. Its description in RNAcentral is "partial 16S ribosomal RNA". It matches the Rfam family "Bacterial small subunit ribosomal RNA", at positions 28 to 507 of the family's 1533-position model. The record is from RNAcentral.